CCUACGGGAGGCAGCAGUGAGGAAUAUUGGUCAAUGGGAGAGAUCCUGAACCAGCCAAGCCGCGUGAGGGAAGACGGCCCUAUGGGUUGUAAACCUCUUUUGUCGGAGAACAAAACCCGGGACGUGUCCCGUACUGCGUGUAUCCGACGAAAAAGCAUCGGCUAACUCCGUACCAGCAGCCGCGGUAAUACGGAGGAUGCGAGCGUUAUCCGGAUUUUAUUGGGUUAAAAUGGUGCGUACGCGGUCCGUUAAGUCAGCGGUAAAAUUGCGGGGCUCAACCCCGUCGAGCCGUGGAAACUGGCAGACUUGAGUUGGCGAGAGGUACGCAGAAUGCGCGGUGUAGCGGUGAAAUGCGUAGAGAUCGGGCGGAACUCCGAUUGCGAAGGCAGCGUACCGGCGCCAGACUGACGCUGAGGCACGAAAGCGUGGGGAUCGAACAGGAUUAGAUACCCCGGUAGUC
Molecule: ribosomal RNA, 460 nt
Filed under: uncultured bacterium
Lineage: Bacteria
Description: partial 16S ribosomal RNA
Rfam family: Bacterial small subunit ribosomal RNA
Source: RNAcentral